CUACGAGAACAUUCUCUCUCUUCCUUCUUUCUGUAAUCUAUGCACCUGGUGCAUGGAUUAACCUAUGCACCACGUUCAAAAUUUGAACUCAAAUUUUCUCUAUGCACCUAGUGUAUAUAUCAUCUCAUACACCAUUAUUCAAAUUUUCUCUCUUUCCACUUUUUUUUCAUUUUUUUUUUCUUCUUCUUCCCUUCUUUUUUUCUUUUUUUUUGCUUCAACAGAGAGGAUUAAGAGUUUGGAACCUGCGGACCCUAAUCUCCAAAAGGUGCGGCGAGACAUCGAGAGUGGACGCGGCAGCGAUUUUAGUGUAAAUGUCGAGGGUGCGCUCCGGUUUCGAAACCGAUGGUGCGUACCAGAAAACGAGGAAGUCCGGAAGUUGAUUUUACAAGAAG
RNAcentral lists this long non-coding RNA (392 nucleotides) under Ananas comosus (pineapple). RNAcentral describes it as "long non-coding RNA (ACOM_LNC005382)". The record is from RNAcentral. Lineage: Eukaryota; Viridiplantae; Streptophyta; Magnoliopsida; Poales; Bromeliaceae.